RNAcentral lists this non-coding RNA (105 nucleotides) under unclassified sequences. RNAcentral's name for it is "DUF1874 RNA". It matches the Rfam family "DUF1874 RNA". Rfam says of the family: Hot springs metagenome only. Environment (Bison Hot Springs, Yellowstone) The record is from RNAcentral.
GUAAGCCCCGUGUGGUUGGGUGGUGGUCCCACCCGUAAGCGUGCCCAAAGGGCACGGCCACCCAACUAAACCCUCCCGAAAGGGAGGGCGCACGGGGUAGGAGGU